This 1479-nucleotide ribosomal RNA is filed under the name Triticum aestivum (bread wheat). Its description in RNAcentral is "partial small subunit ribosomal RNA". The record is from RNAcentral. Lineage: Eukaryota; Viridiplantae; Streptophyta; Magnoliopsida; Poales; Poaceae.
AUGACCACAAGGAGGCCACUCGAGCUACUUCACAUGGAUCUUUUCGGUCCCAACGCUUACAAAAGUCUAGGUGAAAAUUCUUUUGGUCUAGUCAUAGUCGAUGAUUUUUCAAGAUUUACGUGGGUGUUCUUUCUCGAUGAUAAAUCGCAGGUUCAAAAGAUCUUCAAAAACUUCUCUAGGAAGGCCCAAAAUCAAUUUGAAGUGAAGAUCAAGAAGGUUCGCAGCGACAACGGAACGGAGUUCAAGAACACAAAUGUGGACACCUUUCUUGACGAAGAAGGGAUUUCACAUGAGUUCUCAGCUACGUACACACCUCAACAAAAUGGAGUUGUUGAGAGGAAGAACCGCACGCUCAUCGAAAUGGCGAGAACGAUGCUUGAUGAGUACAAGACGCCGAAGCACUUUUGGGCGGAAGCGGUUGAGACAGCUUGUCAUGCAACAAAUCACUUGUAUCUUCACAAGCUACUUGGCAAGACGGCAUACGAGCUCCUCACCGGUAACAAACCCCAAGUUGGAUACUUUCGAGUAUUCGGCUCAAAGGGCUACAUUCUUGAUAAGCAUCGUCGUUCUAAAUUUGCUCCUAAAUCUCAUGAAGGUUUCCUACUUGGUUAUGGCUCAAAGUCUCACACUUAUCGUGUCUACAAUAAUUUCACCCGAAAGGUUGAAGAGACGGUAGAUGUGAAGUUUGAUGAAUCUAACGGCUCGCAAGUAGAGCAAUUGCCAAUUGAUGUAGGAGACAAAGACCCUUCGGAAGCAAUCCAAGACUUAUCUAUUGGCAAGAUUCGUCCAACGGAGGUGAAGGAGAGUACCUCGUCCGUCCAAGUGGAAGCUUCCACCUCACGACAAGGUGAACCAAGAGUUGAUACGGAAGCAUCCACAAGUGGGACACACCAAGAUGAAGAAAACGAGGAAGUACACCAAGAUGAACAUCAACAACCUCCUUCUCCACCACGACAAGAGAACGACAACGUCAACAAUGAAGAAGGCCAAGAAGAAGAACAAGAUGAAGAAGAUGUUCCACCCAGAUCCAAGCAAAAGCUUCCACGAGUUCGAGCAAGAGUCGCCAAAGACCAUCCCGUCGAGCAAAUCUACAAUGAUAUCCAAACCGGGAGAAUCACUCGCUCUAAAACUCGUUUGGCUAACUUUUGUGAACAUUAUUCAUUCAUCUCUAGCAUUGAACCUAUGAAGGUUGAAGAAGCAUUGGAAAGCCCUACCGAAUCUUUCUAUCCAGCGCCAUCGAGUUCUCUUGACAUAGCCACUGCCGGAUACCCUAAUCAAGUCGGUCUCACCGAUGGGAUCUCGGUCUCACCGAGAUGGGCUUGCAAACUCUCUGUUGCCUAUUGCAAUAAUUUUGGUCCCACCGAGAUAUGCAAUCGGUCCCACCGAGUUUGCCUGGCCAACUCUCUGUUUUGCUUAUUACCCAAAUCGGUCCCACCGAGUUUGUGUAAUCGGUCAAACCGAGUUGAGGCUUUACCCUAA